GGGUGAAAUCUGGUGUUGUUAAGUAGUGGGGCAAAUAAUAUAAAAGUUUUUGAAGCCAUUAAGGUUUUGAUAUAAAACAGGAUUAGAUACCCUGUUAUACAGAACUAAAAUUUAAUCUCUUGAGUAGUAAACAGUUAUAUUCUUGAAACUUAAAGGAUUUGGCGGUAUCUUAGUCUUGUUAGAGGAACCUGUUCUGUAAACGAUAUACCACGAAUUAUCUUACUUUUUCUAGUAUUAUCAGUUUGUAUACCGCCAUUGUUAGAUAGUUUUUAUAAAAAUCUAUUAUAAUAGUCGUUAGUUAAUAUAUUAGGUCAAGGUGCAGCUAAUGUAAAAGUAGUUAAUGGGUUACAAUGAUAUACGUAUAUUAUGGAUUUGGAGUGUAAGAAUCCUUUGAAGGUGGAUUUAAUAGUAAUGCUUAUUUAAUAAGAUAGUUUGAUAAAAGCUCUAAGAUAUGUA
This 456-nucleotide ribosomal RNA is filed under the name Plesionika spinidorsalis. RNAcentral's name for it is "12S ribosomal RNA". Lineage: Eukaryota; Metazoa; Arthropoda; Malacostraca; Decapoda; Pandalidae. The record is from RNAcentral.